UGGAUCACCUCCUAACAGGGAGACAACAAAAUGUUUAAUAUUAAUUUUGUCACCUUAGGUCGAUCGGUAUCUCACAUUCUUGAUUUAUUAAGAAUUUCAUUUUCUAAGUUUUUCUAGGUCACACCCAUUAUUUUUCCUGGGCCAUUAGCUCAGGUGGUUAGAGCGCACCCCUGAUAAGGGUGAGGUCCCUGGUUCAAGUCCAGGAUGGCCCAUAUCUCUAUGUUGGGGGUAUAGCUCAGUUGGUAGAGCGCCUGCUUUGCAAGCAGGAUGUCAGCGGUUCGAGUCCGCUUACCUCCACUGAUUACCACCUCUUCCAUAAUUUAUAGAAAGGAAACUUUUUAGGUGUGAUCAAAUUCUGAACGAAUCUAGCUUCCUAAUUAUUUUUAUUAAGAUGCUGGACUCAUUGAAUUAUUUCAUUGUUUUCAGAGAACCUUGACAACUGCAUAGAUUAUUUUUAAAGACAAUAAGCAUCUUUAAUGAUGCAGAUUUAUUAUUUGUGCGAAUGCAUUAAAUAACAAUUCUAUUAAGCUGAUGCUUCAAUUAUUGAAGUUAUUGGUCAAGCUACAAAGGGCUCACGGAGGAUACCUAGGCACACAGAGGCGAUGAAGG
This 609-nucleotide transfer RNA is filed under the name uncultured Prochlorococcus sp. Its description in RNAcentral is "partial contains 16S ribosomal RNA, 16S-23S ribosomal RNA intergenic spacer, and 23S ribosomal RNA". The stretch from base 225 to 297 matches the Rfam family "tRNA". Lineage: Bacteria; Bacillati; Cyanobacteriota; Cyanophyceae; Synechococcales; Prochlorococcaceae. The record is from RNAcentral.